CAGUUGGACUGUGCAUUUUCUGACAGACGUAGUUGACGGCAAACUGGAUAUCUGGCCUCGUCAGUGUCAGUUGAAGAGGAAGCGGAGUAGGCAUAGAAGUGCAGUCAGUCAUAGAGGCAACUGCGAGAAGAUCUUCCGCAUAUUUCUGUUGACACAAAAAGAGUCCUUUCUCAUGGCUUUGAACUUGAAUUCCAAGAAAAUAAUACAAACAGCGACGGAUCAGACUUGGAGCAGACAAAGCCGAACUUGAUGAGAAAGGAGCUGAACUUAUCAAACCAUGCACGGGGAGCCUGCUUAAGACCAUAGAUUGCCUUGUUGAGACGCCACACAUGAUUUUGUUUGCUUUGAUCAACAAAUCCAGCAGGCUGCUUCAUAUAAACCGUUUCUUGAAGAUCACCAUGGCUGUAUGUUUCCAAGUAGUCGAUCCCUUCUUCCUGUUCGUUUCCUUUUGCCACCACACGCGAGCGAAGUUUACUGAAAGAACCAUCCGCAUUGAGCUUGAUUCUGUGCACCCAUCUUGAUCCUAGAACGUGCAUAUCCGGAGUUCGAGGAACCAGAGUGAAGGU
Long non-coding RNA from Brassica napus (rape), 566 nucleotides. RefSeq lists it as uncharacterized. The record is from RefSeq and is a predicted model, not a curated record. The transcript is spliced from 4 exons. NCBI's taxonomy places the organism in Eukaryota, Viridiplantae, Streptophyta, Magnoliopsida, Brassicales, Brassicaceae.